This is a ribosomal RNA of 720 nucleotides. It matches the Rfam family "Bacterial large subunit ribosomal RNA", at positions 1004 to 1725 of the family's 2925-position model.
UCCGUGUUCGAAAGGGAAACAGCCCAGACCACCAGCUAAGGUCCCAAAAUAUAUGUUAAGUGGAAAAGGAUGUGGCGUUGCCCAGACAACUAGGAUGUUGGCUUAGAAGCAGCCAUCAUUUAAAGAGUGCGUAAUAGCUCACUAGUCGAGUGACACUGCGCCGAAAAUGUACCAGGGCUAAACAUAUUACCGAAGCUGUGGAUUGUCCUUUGGACAAUGGUAGGAGAGCGUUCUAAGGGCGUUGAAGCAUGAUCGUAAGGACAUGUGGAGCGCUUAGAAGUGAGAAUGCCGGUGUGAGUAGCGAAAGACGGGUGAGAAUCCCGUCCACCGAUUGACUAAGGUUUCCAGAGGAAGGCUCGUCCGCUCUGGGUUAGUCGGGUCCUAAGCUGAGGCCGACAGGCGUAGGCGAUGGAUAACAGGUUGAUAUUCCUGUACCACCUAUAAUCGUUUUAAUCGAUGGGGGGACGCAGUAGGAUAGGCGAAGCGUGCGAUUGGAUUGCACGUCUAAGCAGUAAGGCUGAGUAUUAGGCAAAUCCGGUACUCGUUAAGGCUGAGCUGUGAUGGGGAGAAGACAUUGUGUCUUCGAGUCGUUGAUUUCACACUGCCGAGAAAAGCCUCUAGAUAGAAAAUAGGUGCCCGUACCGCAAACCGACACAGGUAGUCAAGAUGAGAAUUCUAAGGUGAGCGAGCGAACUCUCGUUAAGGAACUCGGCAAAAUGA